GUGGCUCGCUUCACGGCUUCCCUGCGGCACCAGACACGGUCGCGCCAUGYCUGACACCUNGCGAGCAUCGUUUACGGCUGGGACUACCCGGGUAUCUAAUCCGGUUCGUGCYCCCAGCUUUCGUCCCUCACCGUCGAACCYGUUCUGGUAAGACGCCUUCGCCACAGGUGGUCCCACAGGGAUUACAAGAUUUCACUCCUACCCCUGUAGUACYUCUUACCUCUCCCGGUUCCAAGCCUGGYAGUAUCCCCCGAAAGCCUAAUAGUUGAGCUAUYAGAUUUYYYGGAUUAYUKAYCAAACCGGCUACGGACCCUUUAGACCCAAUCAAUCACGAUUUNNNUUUYGGGCCGCCGGUGUUACCGCGGCGGCUGGCACCGGUCUUGCCCGGCCCUUGCUAACAGGUGUAUUUUACACACCCGGACAGCCAGGYAUAUGAUGCUGGCACUCGGUGUCCCCUUAUCACGGUUUCCCGCAUUGUAAA
RNAcentral lists this ribosomal RNA (481 nucleotides) under uncultured crenarchaeote. RNAcentral describes it as "partial 16S ribosomal RNA". Lineage: Archaea; Thermoproteati; Thermoproteota. The record is from RNAcentral.